UCAUGCAUACAUUUAUUUGAGCUGGUACAAGUAUUUUACCAUCACAAUACUACCAUUUCUGUUGAUUUGAAUCUCUUAAUUGGUACAGUUGAAAAGAGGUGCACAGAUGAAGCUAACUAUUAGUUUUGAGCUUUAUCUUUAUUGCAGUGAUCAACGCAAUUGAGCAAUCUCAGAAUAUGAGAGCAAUGGGGAGUGGGUCAUCUUAACAAAGGGAAUAAAUAUUUAUUUACCAAAUCAUGGUGACUGUUUAGAUUGAAGUCAUUUGAGGGAGUGCAGGUUAAAUUUGAGUGCCUGAGUCAGCUUAAUUGUUUUGAAGGAUUAUGGCUUCUCCUUUGUGUUCUUGUCACUGUCCUAAGGCUUUCAAAGAGAUUUCAAGAGAAAAAUUAAUGCAUCACUUAACAGCUAAUGCCUAUCAUAUAAUUGUGCCAUGUCUUUCUGGAAGUAUCCACAGAUCACAGGAUGAGUAGCGCUUUCAAAUAAAGAACAAAGCUGUUACUGAAUAAAAGCUGACGAGGUCAAUUUCAUGAUUUAUCAGCUAACGAUAAGUAGCUAUAGCAACCACUUCAUGAUUACAUCAGUGGGUGUGGUUUUUAACACCUACUGUGUCGGAGUGAUGUGACAAUGACUGUACAAGACUUUGUUAUUUUUAUGUAAUUUUAACUCAUUUUUCUGAAAGACAAUGUCUGAUUACUGGUUAUAAUUUAGCCCAAUUCCUGUGGGCAUUCUUCAGUAUCAUUAAGAGAGCAAAGAGAAGUGAUACAGGCUAAAGAAGCAAAAAGAAUUGGGCUCAGCAGUUGACCUCAAAGAAGAAUAGGAUUAUUAGUCAAGGAUAAAACCAUCUUGGCAACCGAA
This is a long non-coding RNA of Amphimedon queenslandica, 852 nucleotides long. RefSeq lists it as uncharacterized. Lineage: Eukaryota; Metazoa; Porifera; Demospongiae; Haplosclerida; Niphatidae. The transcript has 6 exons. The record is from RefSeq and is a predicted model, not a curated record.